Non-coding RNA from Ictidomys tridecemlineatus (thirteen-lined ground squirrel), 350 nucleotides. Lineage: Eukaryota; Metazoa; Chordata; Mammalia; Rodentia; Sciuridae. The record is from RefSeq and is a predicted model, not a curated record.
ACUUAUUAAGGCAGAGAUUAUUCCCAUUGACAGCCAGAGAAGCUGAAGGUCAUGGAGUUUAAAUGACUUGUCCUGAUCACAAGACGAGAGUGUGGUGAAUGAAACUAAGUCUACUCUGGGACUUUUCCUACACUGCCUCGUUUCCUGGUUUCAGGGAACAAGUGUUGUUGCCUACCACACCAUGAAUUCCAGCCCUGGGAAAUGAAUUUGAAGGAAAUGAUUCCAAAGAAGCAAAAAACUGCGUGCUUGAAAAUGUUCACUGCUACUCAAAAUUGGGAACUGAACACAGAGGAAAUUUCACUAUUAGAGGACCAGUUGAACAAAAAGUAGUAAAUCUGUAUGCAAAUGUA